Long non-coding RNA from Haliotis rubra (blacklip abalone), 175 nucleotides. RefSeq lists it as uncharacterized. The transcript is spliced from 3 exons. The record is from RefSeq and is a predicted model, not a curated record. Lineage: Eukaryota; Metazoa; Mollusca; Gastropoda; Lepetellida; Haliotidae.
UGAAGGAUGAUGUUGUGUAGUGGUUGCUAUGGCAUACUGGAAGAUGAUGUUGUGUAGUGGUUGCUAGGGGAUGCUGGAAGUUGAUGUGUAGUGGUCGCUAUGGGAUACUGGAAGAUGAUGUUGUGUAGUGGUUGCUAGGGGAUGCUGGAAGAUGAUGUGUGUAGUGGUCACUAGG